GCGCUGGCUUUGGCAGCACGUCUGCUAAAAUUUGAAUGAUACAGAGAAAAUUAGCAUGGCC
Molecule: small nuclear RNA, 61 nt
Filed under: Tursiops truncatus (common bottlenose dolphin)
Lineage: Eukaryota; Metazoa; Chordata; Mammalia; Artiodactyla; Delphinidae
Source: RNAcentral